RNAcentral lists this ribosomal RNA (556 nucleotides) under uncultured bacterium. RNAcentral describes it as "bacterial SSU rRNA". It matches the Rfam family "Bacterial small subunit ribosomal RNA", at positions 278 to 851 of the family's 1533-position model. The record is from RNAcentral.
GAUCGGUAGCCGGACUGAGAGGUUGAACGGCCACAUUGGGACUGAGACACGGCCCAGACUCCUACGGGAGGCAGCAGUGGGGAAUAUUGCACAAUGGGGGAAACCCUGAUGCAGCGACGCCGCGUGGAGGAAGAAGGUCUUCGGAUUGUAAACUCCUGUUGUUGAGGAAGAUAAUGACGGUACUCAACAAGGAAGUGACGGCUAACUACGUGCCAGCAGCCGCGGUAAAACGUAGGUCACAAGCGUUGUCCGGAAUUACUGGGUGUAAAGGGAGCGCAGGCGGGAAGACAAGUUGGAAGUGAAAUCCAUGGGCUCAACCCAUGAACUGCUUUCAAAACUGUUUUUCUUGAGUAGUGCAGAGGUAGGCGGAAUUCCCGGUGUAGCGGUGGAAUGCGUAGAUAUCGGGAGGAACACCAGUGGCGAAGGCGGCCUACUGGGCACCAACUGACGCUGAGGCUCGAAAGUGUGGGUAGCAAACAGGAUUAGACACCCUGGUAGUCCACACCGUAAACGAUGAUUACUAGGUGUUGGAGGAUUGACCCCUUCAGUGCCGCAG